GAGUUUGAUCAUGGCUCAGGACCAUUAAAGCGGCAGGCUUAACACAUGCAAGUCGAGGGGUAACGUGGAAGCUUGCUUCCGCCGACGACCGGCGCACGGGUGCGUAACGCGUAUACAAUCUACCUUGUACUGGGGUAUAGCCUUUAGAAAUGAAGAUUAACCCCCCAUAGUCUCUUAGAGUGGCAUCACUUCUAGAGUAAAGGUUACGGUAUAAGAUGAGUAUGCGUUCUAUUAGUUUGUUGGUGUGGUAACGGCACACCAAGACUACGAUAGAUAGGGGCCCUGAGAGGGGGAUCCCCCACACUGGUACUGAGACACGGACCAGACUCCUACGGGAGGCAGCAGUGAGGAAUAUUGGACAAUGGAGGCAACUCUGAUCCAGCCAUGCCGCGUGCAGGAAGACUGCCCUAUGGGUUGUAAACUGCUUUUAUACAGGAAGAAACACCUCUACGUGUAGAGGCUUGACGGUACUGUAAGAAUAAGGAUCGGCUAACUCCGUGCCAGCAGCCGCGGUAAUACGGAGGAUCCAAGCGUUAUCCGGAAUCAUUGGGUUUAAAGGGUCCGUAGGUGGAUAAUUAAGUCAGAGGUGAAAUCUUGCAGCUCAACUGUAAAAUUGCCUUUGAAACUGGUUAUCUUGAGUUAUUAUGAAGUAGUUAGAAUUUGUAGUGUAGCGGUGAAAUGCAUAGAUAUUACAUAGAAUACCAUUUGCGAAGGCAGAUUACUAAUAAUCAACUGACACUGAUGGACGAAAGCGUGGGUAGCGAACAGGAUUAGAUACCCUGGUAGUCCACGCCGUAAACGAUGGUUACUAGCUGUUUGGACUUCGGUCUGAGUGGCUAAGCGAAAGUGAUAAGUAACCCACCUGGGGAGUACGUUCGCAAGAAUGAAACUCAAAGGGAUUGACGGGGGCCCGCACAAGCGGUGGAGCAUGUGGUUUAAUUCGAUGAUACGCGAGGAACCUUACCAGGGCUUAAAUGUAAGUUGCAUUAGUUAGAGAUAGCUAUUUCUUCGGACCACUUACAAGGUGCUGCAUGGUUGUCGUCAGCUCGUGCCGUGAGGUGUCAGGUUAAGUCCUAUAACGAGCGCAACCCCUGUUGUUAGUUGCCAGCGAGUCAUGUCGGGAACUCUAGCAAGACUGCCAGUGCAAACUGUGAGGAAGGUGGGGAUGACGUCAAAUCAUCACGGCCCUUACGUCCUGGGCUACACACGUGCUACAAUGGUAGGUACAGAGAGCAGCCACUGCGCGAGCAGGAGCGAAUCUAUAAAACCUAUCACAGUUCGGAUCGGAGUCUGCGACUCGACUCCGUGAAGCUGGAAUCGCUAGUAAUCGGAUAUCAGCCAUGAUCCGGUGAAUACGUUCCCGGGCCUUGUACACACCGCCCGUCAAGCCAUGGAAGUUGGAAGUGCCUGAAGUCCGUCACCGUAAGGAGCGGCCUAGGGUAAAGUCGAUAACUAGGGCUA
RNAcentral lists this ribosomal RNA (1461 nucleotides) under uncultured marine bacterium. RNAcentral's name for it is "16S ribosomal RNA". It matches the Rfam family "Bacterial small subunit ribosomal RNA". The record is from RNAcentral.